GGCCCUCUCAAAUUUAGAACCUAUGCUAUUCCCAUUGUUUACAUGCUCAUCAAUCUUUGGAGACAAUUCACCUUCUUCAUUUGACACAUUUGCCUCAGUUGUCUAUGGCUUGUGAAACCCUUCUGUGACAGCUUUCCCUGAGAGAUUCAUUGGGGAUUUUUCCUUACAUCUGUAACAUUGCAAGCAAAAAGGUUAAUCUUAUUCAUUUCAAGCUGCUGUCCCAUCAAA
RNAcentral lists this unclassified non-coding RNA (228 nucleotides) under Hevea brasiliensis (rubber tree). Lineage: Eukaryota; Viridiplantae; Streptophyta; Magnoliopsida; Malpighiales; Euphorbiaceae. The record is from RNAcentral.